Molecule: ribosomal RNA, 237 nt
Filed under: uncultured bacterium
Lineage: Bacteria
Description: partial 16S ribosomal RNA
Rfam family: Bacterial small subunit ribosomal RNA
Source: RNAcentral
CGGCGAACGGGUGAGUAACACGUGGGUGAUCUGCCCUGCACUUCGGGAUAAGCCUGGGAAACUGGGUCUAAUACCGGAUAUGACCUCCUAUCGCAUGGUGGGUGGUGGAAAGAUUUAUCGGUGCAGGAUGGGCCCGCGGCCUAUCAGCUUGUUGGUGGGGUAAUGGCCUACCAAGGCGACGACGGGUAGCCGACCUGAGAGGGUGACCGGCCACACUGGGACUGAGACACGGCCCAG